RNAcentral lists this ribosomal RNA (2895 nucleotides) under Clostridioides difficile. RNAcentral describes it as "23S ribosomal RNA". It matches the Rfam family "Bacterial large subunit ribosomal RNA". Lineage: Bacteria; Bacillati; Bacillota; Clostridia; Peptostreptococcales; Peptostreptococcaceae. The record is from RNAcentral.
UCAAGUUAUUAAGGGUGCAGGGCGGAUGCCUUGGCACUAGGAGCCGAUGAAGGACGUGAUAAGCUGCGAUAAGCUUCGGGGAGUUGCACGUAAACUUUGAUCCGAAGAUUUCCGAAUGAGGAAACUCACUUAGAGUAAUGUCUAAGUAUCAUUAAGUGAAUACAUAGCUUAAUGAGGGGAACUCAGGGAACUGAAACAUCUAAGUACCUGAAGGAAGAGAAAGAAAUUCGAUUCCGUAAGUAGCGGCGAGCGAACGCGGAUUAGCCCAAACCAAUAAAGUUUUCUUUAUUGGGGUUGCGGACAUAUCAUAACGAAGAGGUAUCGUAAUUGAAGAGGUUUGGAAAGACCCACCACAGAAGGUAAUAGUCCUGUAUGUUAAACGAGAAGACUUUAGAUAUGAUCCAGAGUACCACGGGACACGUGAAACCCUGUGGGAAGCAGGAGGGACCACCCUCCAAGGCUAAAUACUACAUAGUGACCGAUAGCGUAUAGUACCGUGAGGGAAAGGUGAAAAGAACCCCGGGAGGGGAGUGAAAUAGAACCUGAAACCCUGCACUUACAAGCUGUGGAAGCACAUUUCUUGUGUGACCGCGUACUUUUUGUAGAACGGGCCAACGAGUUACGUUAAGUAGCAAGGUUAAGCACUUAAGGUGCGGAGCCGUAGCGAAAGCGAGUUUUAACUGAGCGUUCAGUUACUUGACGUAGACCCGAAACCGGGCGACCUACCCAUGAGCAGGAUGAAGCGAAAGUAAAAUUUCGUGGAGGUCCGAACCCACGAGCGUUGAAAAGCUCGGGGAUGACUUGUGGGUAGCGGUGAAAUUCCAAUCGAGCCCGGAGAUAGCUGGUUCUCCCCGAAAUAGCUUUAGGGCUAGCCUCAAGGUGAGAGAUACGGAGGUAGAGCACUGAAUGUCCUAGGGGGUAUUGCACCUACCGAAGACUAUCAAACUCCGAAUGCCGUCAUCUUAUACUUGGGAGUCAGACUGUGGGUGAUAAGAUUCAUAGUCGAAAGGGCAACAGCCCAGAUCGUCAGCUAAGGUCCCUAAAUGUAAGUUAAGUGGUAAAGGAUGUGGGAUUGCACAGACAACCAGGAUGUUGGCUUAGAAGCAGCCACUCAUUCAAAGAGUGCGUAAUAGCUCACUGGUCGAGUGAUCCUGCGCCGAAGAUUUCCGGGGCUAAAACUUACUACCGAAGCUACGGCAUCAUUAUGAUGGGUAGGGGAGCUUCCCAUACGGGUUGAAGCAUGACCGUAAGGACAUGUGGACAGUAUGGGAGUGAGAAUGUUGGCAUGAGUAGCGAGAUGUGGGUGAGAAUCCCACAGGCCGUAAACCCAAGGUUUCCAGGGGAAGGUUCGUCCGCCCUGGGUUAGUCGGGACCUAAGCUGAGGCCGAAAGGCGUAGGUGAUGGACAACAGGUUGAUAUUCCUGUACUACCGAUAACCGUUUGAGAGAAGGGAUGACACAGUAGGAUAAGCUAAGCACACUGUUGGUUAUGUGUGCCCAAGCAUUGAGGCAGUCAAAGUAGGCAAAUCCGCUUUGAUAAUGCUGGGAUGUGAUGGGGAGCGAAAUUUAGUAGCGAAGUAGCUGAUUUCACACUGUCAAGAAAAGUCUCUAUCGAGGUUAAAGGUACCCGUACCGCAAACCGACACAGGUGGGUGAGGAGAGUAUCCUAAGGCCAGCGAGAGAACUGUUGUUAAGGAACUCGGCAAAAUGACCCCGUAACUUAGGGAUAAGGGGUGCCACCAUCAGGUGGCCGCAGAGAAUAGGCCCAAGCGACUGUUUACCAAAAACAUAGGUUUCUGCUAAGUCGCAAGACGAUGUAUAGGAGCUGACGCCUGCCCGGUGCUGGAAGGUUAAGGGGAUCUGUUAGAGCAAUCGAAGCAGUGAACUUAAGCCCCAGUAAACGGCGGCCGUAACUAUAACGGUCCUAAGGUAGCGAAAUUCCUUGUCGGGUAAGUUCCGACCCGCACGAAAGGCGUAACGAUUUGGGCACUGUCUCAACAACAGACUCGGUGAAAUUGUAAUUCCGGUGAAGAUGCCGGAUACCUGCGACAGGACGGAAAGACCCCAUGGAGCUUUACUGUAGCUUGACAUUGGGUCUUGGUACUACAUGUACAGGAUAGGUGGGAGGCUUUGAAACCAGGACGCCAGUUUUGGCGGAGCCAUCCUUGGGAUACCACCCUUGUAGUACUGGGACUCUAACCAUAGGCCAUGAAUCUGGUCUUGGGACACUGUCAGGUGGGCAGUUUGACUGGGGCGGUCGCCUCCCAAAAGGUAACGGAGGCGCUCAAAGGUUCUCUCAGUACGGUCGGAAAUCGUACGUAGAGUGUAAAGGCAAAAGAGAGCUUGAUUGCAAGACAUACAGGUCGAGCAAGGAUGAAAAUCGGACUUAGUGAUCCGGUGGUUCUGCGUGGAAGGGCCAUCGCUCAACGGAUAAAAGCUACCCUGGGGAUAACAGGCUUAUCUCCCCCAAGAGUCCACAUCGACGGGGAGGUUUGGCACCUCGAUGUCGGCUCAUCACAUCCUGGGGCUGUAGUAGGUCCCAAGGGUUGGGCUGUUCGCCCAUUAAAGUGGUACGCGAGCUGGGUUCAGAACGUCGUGAGACAGUUCGGUCCCUAUCCGUCGCAGGCGUAGGAAAUUUGAGAAGACCUGUCCUUAGUACGAGAGGACCGGGAUGGACGUACCUCUGGUGUACCAGUUGUCCUGCCAAGGGCAUGGCUGGGUAGCUAUGUACGGAAUGGAUAAGCGCUGAAAGCAUCUAAGCGCGAAGCCAACUUCAAGAUAAGAUUUCCCACCGCAAGGGUAAGACCCCAGAAAGACUAUCUGGUUGAUAGGUCGAAGGUGUAAGUGCAGCAAUGUAUUUAGCUUAUCGAUACUAAUAGGUCGAGGACUUGACCAA